GGUUAAGCGACUAAGCGUACACGGUGGAUGCCCUGGCAGUCAGAGGCGAUGAAGGRCGUGCUAAUCUGCGAUAAGCGCCGGUAAGGUGAUAUGAACCGUUAUAACCGGCGAUACCCGAAUGGGGAAACCCAGUGUGACUCGUCACACUAUCAUUAACUGAAUCCAUAGGUUAAUGAGGCGAACCGGGGGAACUGAAACAUCUAAGUACCCCGAGGAAAAGAAAUCAACCGAGAUUCCCCCAGUAGCGGCGAGCGAACGGGGAG
Molecule: ribosomal RNA, 263 nt
Filed under: Salmonella enterica
Lineage: Bacteria; Pseudomonadati; Pseudomonadota; Gammaproteobacteria; Enterobacterales; Enterobacteriaceae
Description: partial 23S ribosomal RNA
Source: RNAcentral